RNAcentral lists this ribosomal RNA (35 nucleotides) under Colletotrichum lupini. RNAcentral's name for it is "partial 28S ribosomal RNA". The record is from RNAcentral. Lineage: Eukaryota; Fungi; Ascomycota; Sordariomycetes; Glomerellales; Glomerellaceae.
GUUGACCUCGGAUCAGGUAGGAAUACCCCGCUGAA